RNAcentral lists this ribosomal RNA (462 nucleotides) under uncultured bacterium. RNAcentral's name for it is "bacterial SSU rRNA". It matches the Rfam family "Bacterial small subunit ribosomal RNA", at positions 339 to 793 of the family's 1533-position model. The record is from RNAcentral.
UUACGGGAGGCAGCAGUGGGGAAUUUUGGACAAUGGGGGAAACCCUGAUCCAGCAAUGCCGCGUGUGUGAAGAAGGCCUUCGGGUUGUAAAGCACUUUUGUCAGGAACGAAACGGCGAGGGCUAAUAUCCCUUGCUAAUGACGGUACCUGAAGAAUAAGCACCGGCUAACUACGUGCCAGCAGCCGCGGUAAUACGUAGGGUGCAAGCGUUAAUCGGAAUUACUGGGCGUAAAGCGUGCGCAGGCGGUUGUGCAAGACAGAUGUGAAAUCCCCGGGCUUAACCUGGGAAUGGCAUUUGUGACUGCACGGCUAGAGUGUGUCAGAGGGGGGUAGAAUUCCACGUGUAGCAGUGAAAUGCGUAGAUAUGUGGAGGAAUACCGAUGGCGAAGGCAGCCCCCUGGGAUAACACUGACGCUCAUGCACGAAAGCGUGGGGAGCAAACAGGAUUAGAUACCCCGGUAG